Molecule: ribosomal RNA, 497 nt
Filed under: uncultured bacterium
Lineage: Bacteria
Description: partial 16S ribosomal RNA
Rfam family: Bacterial small subunit ribosomal RNA
Source: RNAcentral
GAUGAACGCUGGCGGCGUGCCUAAUACAUGCGAGUCGAGCGAACAGAUGAGGAGCUUGCUCCUCUGACGUUAGCGGCGGACGGGUGAGUAACACGUGGAUAACCUACCUAUAAGACUGGGAUAACUUCGGGAAACCGGAGCUAAUACCGGAUAAUAUAUUGAACCGCAUGGUUCAAUAGUGAAAGACGGUUUUGCUGUCACUUAUAGAUGGAUCCGCGCCGCAUUAGCUAGUUGGUAAGGUAACGGCUUACCAAGGCGACGAUGCGUAGCCGACCUGAGAGGGUGAUCGGCCACACUGGAACUGAGACACGGUCCAGACUCCUACGGGAGGCAGCAGUAGGGAAUCUUCCGCAAUGGGCGAAAGCUUGACGGAGCAACGCCGCGUGAGUGAUGAAGGUCUUCGGAUCGUAAAACUCUGUUAUUAGGGAAGAACAAAUGUGUAAGUAACUAUGCACGUCUUGACGGUACCUAAUCAGAAAGCCACGGCUAACUACGUG